CCUACGGGAGGCAGCAGUAGGGAAUCUUCCACAAUGGGCGAAAGCCUGAUGGAGCAACGCCGCGUGAGUGAUGAAGGCCUUCGGGUUGUAAAACUCUGUCAUUCGGGACGAACCGGAGUCUGAGGAAAUGCAGACUCUCUGACGGUACCGGAGGAGGAAGCCCCGGCUAACUACGUGCCAGCAGCCGCGGUAAUACGUAGGGGGCAAGCGUUGUCCGGAUUCACUGGGCGUAAAGCGCGCGCAGGCGGUGAUGUAAGUCUGAGGUGAAAACCCGAAGCUCAACUUCGGGACUGCCUUGGAUACUGCGUCACUUGAGGAUAGGAGAGGCAAGGGGAAUUCCACGUGUAGCGGUGAAAUGCGUAGAGAUGUGGAGGAACACCUGUGGCGAAGGCGCCUUGCUGGCCUAUUUCUGACGCUGAGGCGCGAAAGCGUGGGGAGCAAACAGGAUUAGAUACCCUGGUAGUCCACGCUGUAAACGAUGAGUGCUAGGUGUAGGUGGGCUCAUACCCAUCUGUGCCGAAGCUAACGCAUUAAGCACUCCGCCCUGGGGAGUACGGUCGCGAGACGAGAACGUACGAAGUAGAGUAGACGGACGNGAGGAGNGCGAGGACGACGACGAGGGGAGUAGG
Molecule: ribosomal RNA, 629 nt
Filed under: uncultured bacterium
Lineage: Bacteria
Description: bacterial SSU rRNA
Rfam family: Bacterial small subunit ribosomal RNA (bases 1-544)
Source: RNAcentral